This 226-nucleotide ribosomal RNA is filed under the name Neogloboquadrina pachyderma. RNAcentral describes it as "partial 18S ribosomal RNA". It matches the Rfam family "Eukaryotic small subunit ribosomal RNA", at positions 1164 to 1332 of the family's 1831-position model. The record is from RNAcentral. Lineage: Eukaryota; Foraminifera; Rotaliida; Globorotaliidae.
GCACCACAAGAACGCGUGGAGCAUGUGGCUUAAUUUGACUCAACGCGGGAAAUCUUACCGGGUCCGGACACACUGAGGAUUGACAGGCAAUAUCUCAUGUUAACGGUAAGUUUACUUACCGCUUAACAUCAGUGUUAAAUAUGCUAGUCCUUUCAUGAUUAUGUGAUAGGUGGUGCAUGGCCGUUCUUAGUUCGUGGAGUGAUCUGUCUGCUUAAUUGCGUUUCAC